Tigriopus californicus is the source of this 384-nucleotide long non-coding RNA. RefSeq lists it as uncharacterized. The record is from RefSeq and is a predicted model, not a curated record. The transcript has 2 exons. NCBI's taxonomy places the organism in Eukaryota, Metazoa, Arthropoda, Copepoda, Harpacticoida, Harpacticidae.
UCGAGAAAGUCCGAAAUGAACCCUCCGCAGUGUUUGGAUUGUUCAAAGUGGUUUUGAAGUGUUAGAGCGCAUUCAUGCUCUGGAUCGAAAUCAGGUUCAUGGUUGGUUCGGUUAAAGACGGUUUAGUGAAGGUCAAUAAAUUGGGAUCAUCUGGCCAUCAGACAGCAUUGAAAAUUAUGAGCACAAAAUUAGGGAACAAUUAGUUCUCGUGAGCCCAAACAGUAAUGAGGCUGUACCUUGUUUUGCGGGCAAUACUUGAUGGUGUGCGCCACGGGUCCUGAAGCCCCACAAAUAGGACACACGUAAGCCCGCAAUACCGGGCAAAUCACCUGGCCUGAAUCAUCCUUCAGGGUGUGCGCCAAGAAAAACUGCUCAUCCUCGCCA